RNAcentral lists this ribosomal RNA (868 nucleotides) under Citrobacter sp. Ce006. RNAcentral's name for it is "partial 23S ribosomal RNA". It matches the Rfam family "Bacterial large subunit ribosomal RNA", at positions 657 to 1527 of the family's 2925-position model. The record is from RNAcentral. RNAcentral also lists the same sequence under 1 other name. Lineage: Bacteria; Pseudomonadati; Pseudomonadota; Gammaproteobacteria; Enterobacterales; Enterobacteriaceae.
AUAGGGGAGCCGAAGGGAAACCGAGUCUUAACUGGGCGUUAAGUUGCAGGGUAUAGACCCGAAACCCGGUGAUCUAGCCAUGGGCAGGUUGAAGGUUGGGUAACACUAACUGGAGGACCGAACCGACUAAUGUUGAAAAAUUAGCGGAUGACUUGUGGCUGGGGGUGAAAGGCCAAUCAAACCGGGAGAUAGCUGGUUCUCCCCGAAAGCUAUUUAGGUAGCGCCUCGUGAACUCAUCUUCGGGGGUAGAGCACUGUUUCGGCUAGGGGGUCAUCCCGACUUACCAACCCGAUGCAAACUGCGAAUACCGAAGAAUGUUAUCACGGGAGACACACGGCGGGUGCUAACGUCCGUCGUGAAGAGGGAAACAACCCAGACCGCCAGCUAAGGUCCCAAAGUCAUGGUUAAGUGGGAAACGAUGUGGGAAGGCACAGACAGCCAGGAUGUUGGCUUAGAAGCAGCCAUCAUUUAAAGAAAGCGUAAUAGCUCACUGGUCGAGUCGGCCUGCGCGGAAGAUGUAACGGGGCUAAACCAUGCACCGAAGCUGCGGCAGCGACACUAUGUGUUGUUGGGUAGGGGAGCGUUCUGUAAGCCGUUGAAGGUGUGUCGUGAGGCAUGCUGGAGGUAUCAGAAGUGCGAAUGCUGACAUAAGUAACGAUAAUGCGGGUGAAAAACCCGCACGCCGGAAGACCAAGGGUUCCUGUCCAACGUUAAUCGGGGCAGGGUGAGUCGACCCCUAAGGCGAGGCCGAAAGGCGUAGUCGAUGGGAAACAGGUUAAUAUUCCUGUACUUGGUGUUACUGCGAAGGGGGGACGGAGAAGGCUAUGUUAGCCGGGCGACGGUUGUCCCGGUUUAAGCAUGUAGGCGG